Molecule: ribosomal RNA, 587 nt
Filed under: Citrobacter koseri
Lineage: Bacteria; Pseudomonadati; Pseudomonadota; Gammaproteobacteria; Enterobacterales; Enterobacteriaceae
Description: partial 23S ribosomal RNA
Rfam family: Bacterial large subunit ribosomal RNA
Source: RNAcentral
UUUUGUAUAAUGGGUCAGCGACUUAUAUUCUGUAGCAAGGUUAACCGUAUAGGGGAGCCGAAGGGAAACCGAGUCUUAACUGGGCGUUAAGUUGCAGGGUAUAGACCCGAAACCCGGUGAUCUAGCCAUGGGCAGGUUGAAGGUUGGGUAACACUAACUGGAGGACCGAACCGACUAAUGUUGAAAAAUUAGCGGAUGACCUGUGGCUGGGGGUGAAAGGCCAAUCAAACCGGGAGAUAGCUGGUUCUCCCCGAAAGCUAUUUAGGUAGCGCCUCGUGAAUUCAUCUCCGGGGGUAGAGCACUGUUUCGGCUAGGGGGCCAUCCCGGCUUACCAACCCGAUGCAAACUGCGAAUACCGGAGAAUGUUAUCACGGGAGACACACGGCGGGUGCUAACGUCCGUCGUGAAGAGGGAAACAACCCAGACCGCCAGCUAAGGUCCCAAAGUCAUGGUUAAGUGGGAAACGAUGUGGGAAGGCCCAGACAGCCAGGAUGUUGGCUUAGAAGCAGCCAUCAUUUAAAGAAAGCGUAAUAGCUCACUGGUCGAGUCGGCCUGCGCGGAAGAUGUAACGGGGCUAAACCAUGCAC